CAGCAGCGCGGUAAUACAGAGGGUGCGAGCGUUAAUCGGAUUUACUGGGCGUAAAGCGUGCGUAGGCGGCUUCUUAAGUCGGAUGUGAAAUCCCUGAGCUUAACUUAGGAAUUGCAUUCGAUACUGGGAAGCUAGAGUAUGGGAGAGGAUGGUAGAAUUCCAGGUGUAGCGGUGAAAUGCGUAGAGAUCUGGAGGAAUACCGAUGGCGAAGGCAGCCAUCUGGCCUAAUACUGACGCUGAGGUACGAAAGCAUGGGGAGCAAACAGGAUUAGAUACCCCUGUAGUCCCUGUCUCUUAUACA
RNAcentral lists this ribosomal RNA (301 nucleotides) under uncultured bacterium. RNAcentral's name for it is "partial 16S ribosomal RNA". It matches the Rfam family "Bacterial small subunit ribosomal RNA", at positions 509 to 808 of the family's 1533-position model. The record is from RNAcentral.